Eucalyptus grandis is the source of this 359-nucleotide long non-coding RNA. RefSeq lists it as uncharacterized. The record is from RefSeq and is a predicted model, not a curated record. Lineage: Eukaryota; Viridiplantae; Streptophyta; Magnoliopsida; Myrtales; Myrtaceae. The transcript has 3 exons.
AAUUGCAUCCACAUAGACAAGGCAAAGGCUUUCAAGAAAGAAUUUCAUGAGAAAAUUUUGCGCAAGCAUCUUCAACGUCUGUGGAUGUCAUUGAUAAUCCAGAAACUGCUAGUGUCCUCAGUCCUAUAUACAAGAAGAUGAAGGAUCCAUGUAGCCGGAACCAUUGAGAUGAUGGAGUCAGAAGAGGGGGCUGGAUCAUUUUCCCGGGGCAACUUCUGCAUGGUGAUGAAACUCAAGGGAACGUUGACCCUGAAGAGGACAGGGCUGCAUUGGAAAAUUCCUUUCUCCCUGCAGACCAGACUGUUGCUUAGUGCAAACAUAGUGCAAACUGAGUAAGGUUGUGCAUCUAACCAGAGGUC